This 1181-nucleotide long non-coding RNA is filed under the name Bos indicus x Bos taurus (hybrid cattle). Its description in RNAcentral is "lncRNA (ENSBIXG00005019299.1)". The record is from RNAcentral. Lineage: Eukaryota; Metazoa; Chordata; Mammalia; Artiodactyla; Bovidae.
CUUUUGCCUUAGACUUCACAAAGGCAGCUUACUCCAGGGAAGCUGAGGACGCACAUCUUCUUGCUUUUUUUUAUAUAAAAGAUUAAUUAAUUAGGCUGCGCCAGGUCUUAGCUGUGCUAUGUGGGAUCUCUUACUUGCAGCAUGCGAAUCUUUUAGUUGUGGCAUACGAACUCUUAGAGGUGGCAUGUGGAAUCUAGCUCCCCGAAAAGGGACCGAACUUGGGCCCCCUUGCGCUGGGAGCAGGGAGUCUUAGCCCCUGGCCCACCAGGGAAGUCCCUCCCUUGCUUCCUGAAAGCUGGGCCUGGGUCCAAUCCCUCUCUGGUUCCCUCGUCACAUUUAAUGCACAGCCCCUUACCCACAGCAGGUGAGGGGCCCGAGGCUACGGUGCUGAUUGAUCAUGGGGAAAGGGACCGGGUGCCCCAGCCUCUCUUUUCUUUGUCCUCCAUGUACCUUCCCUCUUUGAACCUUAGCAGCUGCAAGGCUGCUGCGCUGCCUGGCCCCAUGAAGCCCUCACACCUGAUGAAGGAAGCCUGACUCUCCCAGACCACAGCCCGACGCCCAGCCAUGCUGACGUCCAGACUCUACACAAGGGCCUCAGAGAGGGGACAAGAUGUGAUGCCACGACCCCCAGCAACCCCCCUCCUCCCAACACCACCGUCCCUAUCUUGGGCCUGGGGGAAGGAGAAAAUGAAGCGGGAUAUGGAAGAGCCUAGAGCUGUGCCUGGCACAGAGACAGGGUCCAUUAUCUGUGUGAGCCUCCGUGGGACUGGAACUCUCCAGACACCACUUCUGUGGCAGGAGACGCAGAAUGGCCGGCACGGGGUAAGGAAGGCAGCCUUGACUGUGUUCUGCCCCACGGUGCUGUUUUCCUUCUGCAGGCGGCUGUGGCUGUUUUGGGGGGUGGGGUGGCUAGGCUUAGCUCUUAGCCAGAGAUGUCUUAGCAUUUGAUGUGAUACUGCUGUUGUUUUUGGCUCUACAUCCAAGACUCCUGCGUGGCUAAUUACUCAUUGUCUUGGAAGCCUGGCGCAGGAGCCUGAGGAAGGAGGGUGGAAAGGGCUGGUUGCUGUUUUUCUCCUGGUUAAAGAAGCAGUGGCACUGGAGUGAUGAGUUAAGCCUUUUGCAUGAUCUCAGCUGAACUGAGAAAUAAUCUAUAUACAAUAAAAUGCACAUGAUUUAGGACA